GUGUCAGCAGCCGCGGUAAGACGAAGGUGGCAAGCGUUGUUCGGUAUCACUGGGCUUAAAGCGUGUGUAGGCGGGAACGUAAGCAUUUUGUGAAAUCCCUCGGCUUAACCGAGGAAUUGCUUGAUGUACUGCGUUUCUUGAGGCAGGUAGGGGUGCGCGGAACUCUUGGUGGAGCGGUGGAAUGCGUAGAUAUCAAGAGGAACGCCGAUGGUGAAGACAGUGCACUAGGCCUGUCCUGACGCUGAGACACGAAAGCGUGGGGAGCGAACGGGAUUAGAAACCCUCGUAGUCC
RNAcentral lists this ribosomal RNA (292 nucleotides) under uncultured bacterium. RNAcentral's name for it is "partial 16S ribosomal RNA". It matches the Rfam family "Bacterial small subunit ribosomal RNA", at positions 505 to 796 of the family's 1533-position model. The record is from RNAcentral.